This 403-nucleotide ribosomal RNA is filed under the name uncultured bacterium. RNAcentral's name for it is "partial 16S ribosomal RNA". It matches the Rfam family "Bacterial small subunit ribosomal RNA", at positions 30 to 526 of the family's 1533-position model. The record is from RNAcentral.
AUCGAACGCUGGCGGCAGGCCUAACACAUGCAAGUCGAGCGAGCGGCGGACGGGUGAGUAAUGUAUGGGGACUGCCCGAUAGAGGGAGCACACUCCUGGAAAAGGUGGCUAAUACCGCAUACUACCGGAUAACCCCUAUGGGAUUAGCUAGUAGGUGGGGUAUAGCCUCACCUAGGCGACGAUCUCUAGCUGGUCUGAGAGGGUGAUCGUCCACACUGGGACUGAGACACGGCCCAGACUCCUACGGAGGCAGCAGUGGGGAAUAUUGGCCAAUGGACGAAAGCCGGAUGGAGCAAUGCCGCUUGAAUGAAGAAGGUCUUAGGGUUGUAAAACACUUUCAUCAGAGAAGCGUUACCUGAAGAAGAAGCCCCGGCUAACUACGUGCCAGCAGCCGCGGUAAUAC